UACAGAGAGUGCAAGCGUUAAUCGGAAUUACUGGGCGUAAAGCGCACGUAGGUGGAACUGUAAGUCGGAUGUGAAAUCCCCGGGCUUAACCUGGGAAUUGCAUUCGAUACUGCAAUUCUAGAAUAUGGUAGAGGGAAGUGGAAUUUCCGGUGUAGCGGUGAAAUGCGUAGAUAUCGGAAGGAACAUCAGUGGCGAAAGCGACUUCCUGGACCAGUACCGACGUUCAGGCACGAAAGCGUGGGGAGCAAACAGG
This 253-nucleotide ribosomal RNA is filed under the name uncultured bacterium. RNAcentral describes it as "partial 16S ribosomal RNA". It matches the Rfam family "Bacterial small subunit ribosomal RNA", at positions 524 to 776 of the family's 1533-position model. The record is from RNAcentral.